RNAcentral lists this ribosomal RNA (305 nucleotides) under Escherichia coli. RNAcentral's name for it is "partial 23S ribosomal RNA". It matches the Rfam family "Bacterial large subunit ribosomal RNA", at positions 165 to 508 of the family's 2925-position model. Lineage: Bacteria; Pseudomonadati; Pseudomonadota; Gammaproteobacteria; Enterobacterales; Enterobacteriaceae. The record is from RNAcentral.
CAUAGGUUAAUGAGGCGAACCGGGGGAACUGAAACAUCUAAGUACCCCGAGGAAAAGAAAUCAACCGAGAUUCCCCCAGUAGCGGCGAGCGAACGGGGAGGAGCCCAGAGCCUGAAUCAGUGUGUGUGUUAGUGGAAGCGUCUGGAAAGGCGCGCGAUACAGGGUGACAGCCCCGUACACAAAAAUGCACAUACUGUGAGCUCGAUGAGUAGGGCGGGACACGUGGUAUCCUGUCUGAAUAUGGGGGGACCAUCCUCCAAGGCUAAAUACUCCUGACUGACCGAUAGUGAACCAGUACCGUGAGG